ACCAGACUCCUACGGGAGGCAGCAGUGGGGAAUAUUGCACAAUGGGGGAAACCCUGAUGCAGCGACGCCGCGUGAAGGAAGAAGUAUCUCGGUAUGUAAACUUCUCUCAGCAGGGAAGAAAACAGACGGUACCUGACUAAGAAGCCCCGGCUAACUACGUGCCAGCAGCCGCGGUAAUACGUAGGGGGCGAGCGUUAUCCGGAUUCACUGGGUGUAAAGGGAGCGUAGACGGCCAAGCAAGCCAGGGGUGAAAGCCCGGGGCCCAACCCCGGGACUGCCCUUGGAACUGCUUGGCUGGAGUGCGGGAGGGGCAGGCGGAAUUCCUGGUGUAGCGGUGAAAUGCGUAGAUAUCAGGAGGAACACCGGCGGCGAAGGCGGCCUGCUGGACUGCGACUGACGUUGAGGCCCGAAAGCGUGGGGAGCAAACAGGAUUAGAUACCCGAGUA
Molecule: ribosomal RNA, 446 nt
Filed under: uncultured bacterium
Lineage: Bacteria
Description: partial 16S ribosomal RNA
Rfam family: Bacterial small subunit ribosomal RNA
Source: RNAcentral